Long non-coding RNA from Oncorhynchus tshawytscha (Chinook salmon), 1352 nucleotides. The record is from Ensembl. Lineage: Eukaryota; Metazoa; Chordata; Actinopteri; Salmoniformes; Salmonidae.
CUGGGGACAUGGACUGUCCUCCUCUCCUUAAGUCCAUGGUGAUUUUGAAAGAGGCAAGUCAGGUCCUGUCCCUCGUGGAGGGCCAGUGGGAACUCAUAGGUGAGGUUGGUUAGCACUCUCACACCUUCAUACCCAGAGCGGAAGGAGAUGUGGCCUGUGGUGUUGUCAGGUAGAACCCAGGAGAGGUGUGCUCUGAUCCCGUCCCCUCUGUACUCACACACAGCCAGCCACAGAGAUCUGCUCUGCCUCGCAACAAAAACACGCAUCACAGGGGACUCUGAGGGAAGGGAGGGAGGGAGUGACAUUGUGUGGUGGUUGGAUACAAUGGAUACGUCCCUAAAUGACACCCUAUUCCCUUUAUAGUGCAUUACUUUUGACCAGGGCCAAUAGGGGAAAUAGCAUGUUAUUGGGGAUGCACAUAAUGUAUUGUGGAGAAACAUGGAUACUACAAGUCAUAAAGUAAUUUACCCAAUCCACGCAGCAGUAUCCCUCUUCUCUCUGGCCUUUCAAGACCCAGCUGAUCCACCACACAGGUGACAUUCUGACCAGAGAACUUGGAAGUGGGGAGCCUCAACACACUACAGACCGUCACAGAGCCAUUGGCAUGGUGCUCAGGCUGCCCCUGAUCCUGCAAGCGAAACAUAUGUAGACUGACUGGUACUAUUGUCACUGUCCCUGUCUCCAAGACUCCAGGAGAUAGUGGCAGCAGGUCCAACACUGUCCACAGUGCACUGCACCAGUGUGUAUGCUACAUCUUCCUCCCACUCAGAGCUGGACUGGAUGGUGAUGUUAGGAGGAGCUGCAUGUAGAUAGAACAGCGAUAUAGGAUACAUGUUCUCAAUGUAAAUAAAAUAACAGAGAUACAGGAUACAUGUUCUCAAUGUAAAUAAAAUAACAGAGAUAUAGGAUACAUGUUCUCAAUGUAAAUAAAAUAACAGAGAUAUAGGAUACAUGUUCUCAAUGUAAAUAAAAUAACAGAGAUAUAGGAUACAUGUUCUCAAUGUAAAAAAUGUAUUUUAACACUAGAGCUUUCAUUGAUGGUGUUCGAUGAUUUGUUGAACAUACCACACACAGGGAGUGUUAUCUGUCUUCUCUCUGGCAACACAAACACAGAAUGAUCUAUCACACACUCCAUAUUGAGCUCCUGGGCUGAGCAGGCAGGCAGGACUAACACACUGCUGACAGAGUGGGUUCCAUUAUGGGAUGUGAGACUGGACCAGGAGGGCCCAGACACACCCUCAGGUAGAACCCAGGACACAUUGGCAAUGGGGACAGAGUCUGCAGCCAGGCACUCAAUGAACCUGUUACCCAGUCUGUCCUGGACAUCAACCCUUAUGCUGGGAGGAACAGUC